This 484-nucleotide ribosomal RNA is filed under the name uncultured bacterium. RNAcentral's name for it is "partial 16S ribosomal RNA". It matches the Rfam family "Bacterial small subunit ribosomal RNA", at positions 28 to 507 of the family's 1533-position model. The record is from RNAcentral.
GAUGAACGCUGGCGGCGUGCCUAACACAUGCAAGUCGAGCGGACAGACGAGGCUCUUUCUUCUCUUCCGUGGCGGACGGGCGGGUAAGGAACAGGAGUCUGCCUUGCCUUUGAGAAUAACGUCCGGUAACGGGACCUGAUACCACACACGAUCAGAUGUAGAAAGUGGUGGUUCUACGGAGCUAGCGCGUUUUGCUGUGCCUAGGUCGGAUUAGCUAGUUGGUUGGGUAAAGGCCUACCAAGGCGACGAUCCGUAACAGGUCUGAGAGGGUGAUCAGCCACACUGGAACUGAGACGCGGUCCAGACUCCUACGGGAGGCAGCAGUAGGGAAUCUUGGACAAUGGGCGAAAGCCUGAUGCAGCCAUGCCGCGUGUGUGAAGAAGGUCUUCGGAUCGUAAAACACUUUUAGUAGGGAAGAACGAAUGUAAGAUAAUACCUGGCUGUCUUGACGGUACCAACAGAAAAAGCACCGGCUAACUACGUG